ACCUGUGUAGCUCAGUUGGUAGAGCGUUCGACUUUUAUGACGUUUCCUUCAUACGAGGUUAUCGAAAUGUCCAGGGUUCGAGCCCCUGCAUGGGUG
This is a transfer RNA of Nadsonia fulvescens var. elongata DSM 6958, 96 nucleotides long. It matches the Rfam family "tRNA". From Rfam's summary of the family: Transfer RNA (tRNA) molecules are approximately 80 nucleotides in length. Their secondary structure includes four short double-helical elements and three loops (D, anti-codon, and T loops). Further hydrogen bonds mediate the characteristic L-shaped molecular structure. tRNAs have two regions of fundamental functional importance: the anti-codon, which is responsible for specific mRNA codon recognition, and the 3' end, to which the tRNAs corresponding amino acid is attached (by aminoacyl-tRNA synthetases). tRNAs cope with the degeneracy of the genetic code in two manners: having more than one tRNA (with a specific anti-codon) for a particular amino acid; and 'wobble' base-pairing, i.e. permitting non-standard base-pairing at the 3rd anti-codon position. The record is from Rfam. Lineage: Eukaryota; Fungi; Ascomycota; Dipodascomycetes; Dipodascales.